GCCCCCCAAACUACCUCUUCACUACACACUAGCCCCUUCCUCCCAAAAUCAUGUCUUCCUCCACCGUCCCCGCCUGCAGCGAACAACCGCCACUCCUAAUACCGUCGAUCCCAGACGACGUCGCUCUGAACUGCCUUGCCCGAGUACCUCGGUCCCUCCACCCAACCCUAUCCCUCGUCUCCAAACCAAUCCGGUCCCUCCUCUCUUCCCCUCUCUUCUUUACCGCACGCUCUCUCCUACAGUCCACUGAACCCCUCCUCUACCUCUCUAUCCGGUCUCCUCUCUCUCCUUCCCUCUGGUUCUCUCUCGGCCGCACAAAUGACCAAGACUACCCUCGCUCCCUUGUCCCGGUCCCACCUGCCCCCUCCUCUUCCGUGGGCUCCUCUUAUGCCGCCCUGGGCUCCUCUAUCUACGUCCUCGGUGGGUCUACCAACGAUGUUCCUACCUCUCGCGUCUGGGCCCUCGACUGCCGCUUCAACAAGUGGUUGCCCACCACCAGCAUGCGCGUCGGGCGCGAGUUCUCUGCAGCGGGAGUCGUGGACGGCAGAAUCUACGUCAUGGGUGGGUGCGUGGUAGACACGUGGGCCCGUUCGACUCACUGGGCCGAGGCGUUCGACCCUAGGACCGGGAAGUGGGAAGCGGUGCCGAGCCCGAUAGAGGUCCGGGACAAGUGGAUGCACGCGAGCGCGGUAGUGGACGGGAAGAUCUACGCGAUGGCGGACCGUGGUGGGAUCGUUUACGACCCGAGAAACGGGAAGUGGGAAAGCGUGGAGAGCGAGCUGGACUUGGGGUGGAGAGGGAGGGCUUGCGUUGUGGAUGGGAUUUUGUACUGCUACGACUUCUUGGGGAAGAUUCGGGGGUUCGAUGGGAGGGAAAAGGAGUGGAGGGAGCUGAGGGGAGUGGAGAAUGGGCUGCCCAGAUUUCUGUGCGGCGCAACAAUGGCCAAUGUGGGUGGGAAUCUGGUGGUGGUGUGGGAAGAGAAGGGAAGGGGGAGGGUGAAAGAGACGGAGAUUUGGUGUGCGGAGAUUGGGGUGGAGAAGAGGCAGGAUGGUCGAGAGCUGUGGGGGAAGAUUGGGUGGGUGGAGAAGGUUCGGUCCGUUCCCAGUGGGUCGUCCAUCGUGCACUGCGUGGCUGUUUCCGUGUGAUAUAAAGGUUCUAUACUCUUCCUUCUCUGUUCUCCAGUAUCCAAUUCUUGUGUGGGAGUAGCAAGAGCCACAUGAGGGGUUCUAUAUUCUUCCUUCUCUGUUCUCCAGUAUCCAAUCCUUGUGUGGGAGUAGCAAGAGCCACAUGAUUCUAUCAUUAAGCUGUCAUCUACACUAGCUGCUACUGCAAUCUUAUGGAAGUCUUGGGAAAAGUUCCUUCUGAUUCAUGUCAGGUCAUUUGCUUAAAACCAUUUCAUGAUUAAAAAUAACAAGAAUUGCUCAAAGUGUACUCUAUGCACUACUAUUCUCCAUAUAAUGGGCACUUUCAAUGGCCAUGUCAAGUUUAUGCAUUUGUAUAUAAGUUCCAAGUUA
This is an RNA transcript of Juglans regia (Persian walnut), 1514 nucleotides long. It is a transcript of the gene named F-box/kelch-repeat protein SKIP6-like, with no coding region annotated. The transcript is spliced from 3 exons. The record is from RefSeq and is a predicted model, not a curated record. Lineage: Eukaryota; Viridiplantae; Streptophyta; Magnoliopsida; Fagales; Juglandaceae.